GAUGAACGCUGGCGGCGUGCCUAACACAUGCAAGUCGAACGGAGUCCAGCCUUUAAGACCUUCGGGUCAAAGAGGGGAAGACUGAGUGGCGGACGGGUGAGUAACACGUGGGCAACCUGGCUCAUAGAGGGGGAUAACAGAGAGAAAUUUCUGCUAAUACCGCAUAAGCACACACUGCCGCAUGGCAGAGGGGGAAAAGAGAAUCGCUAUGAGAUGGACCCGCGUCUGAUUAGCCAGUUGGCAGGGUAAGAGCCUACCAAAGCGACGAUCAGUAGCCGAUCUGAGAGGAUGAACGGCCACAUUGGGACUGAGACACGGCCCAAACUCCUACGGGAGGCAGCAGUGGGGGAUAUUGCACAAUGGGGGGAACCCUGAUGCAGCGACGCCGCGUGAGUGAAGAAGUAUUUCGGUAUGUAAAGCUCUAUCAGCAGGGAAGAUAAUGACAGUACCUGAAUAAGAAGCCCCGGCUAACUACGUG
Molecule: ribosomal RNA, 478 nt
Filed under: uncultured bacterium
Lineage: Bacteria
Description: partial 16S ribosomal RNA
Rfam family: Bacterial small subunit ribosomal RNA
Source: RNAcentral